CACACACUGGGGAUCUUGUUAAAAUGUGGAUUUUGAUUCAGUGGGGCUGAGCUGAGGCCUGAGAUUGCGCAUUUUUAACAAGCUCCCAAGUGAUACUGA
This 99-nucleotide microRNA precursor is filed under the name Pteropus alecto (black flying fox). RNAcentral's name for it is "mir-544 microRNA precursor family". It matches the Rfam family "mir-544 microRNA precursor family". Lineage: Eukaryota; Metazoa; Chordata; Mammalia; Chiroptera; Pteropodidae. The record is from Rfam by way of RNAcentral.